RNAcentral lists this ribosomal RNA (1342 nucleotides) under Streptomyces griseus. Its description in RNAcentral is "bacterial SSU rRNA". It matches the Rfam family "Bacterial small subunit ribosomal RNA", at positions 67 to 1418 of the family's 1533-position model. The record is from RNAcentral. Lineage: Bacteria; Bacillati; Actinomycetota; Actinomycetes; Kitasatosporales; Streptomycetaceae.
CGAUGAAGCCCUUCGGGGUGGAUUAGUGGCGAACGGGUGAGUAACACGUGGGCAAUCUGCCCUUCACUCUGGGACAAGCCCUGGAAACGGGGUCUAAUACCGGAUAACACUCUGUCCCGCAUGGGACGGGGUUAAAAGCUCCGGCGGUGAAGGAUGAGCCCGCGGCCUAUCAGCUUGUUGGUGGGGUAAUGGCCUACCAAGGCGACGACGGGUAGCCGGCCUGAGAGGGCGACCGGCCACACUGGGACUGAGACACGGCCCAGACUCCUACGGGAGGCAGCAGUGGGGAAUAUUGCACAAUGGGCGAAAGCCUGAUGCAGCGACGCCGCGUGAGGGAUGACGGCCUUCGGGUUGUAAACCUCUUUCAGCAGGGAAGAAGCGAAAGUGACGGUACCUGCAGAAGAAGCGCCGGCUAACUACGUGCCAGCAGCCGCGGUAAUACGUAGGGCGCAAGCGUUGUCCGGAAUUAUUGGGCGUAAAGAGCUCGUAGGCGGCUUGUCACGUCGGAUGUGAAAGCCCGGGGCUUAACCCCGGGUCUGCAUUCGAUACGGGCUAGCUAGAGUGUGGUAGGGGAGAUCGGAAUUCCUGGUGUAGCGGUGAAAUGCGCAGAUAUCAGGAGGAACACCGGUGGCGAAGGCGGAUCUCUGGGCCAUUACUGACGCUGAGGAGCGAAAGCGUGGGGAGCGAACAGGAUUAGAUACCCUGGUAGUCCACGCCGUAAACGUUGGGAACUAGGUGUUGGCGACAUUCCACGUCGUCGGUGCCGCAGCUAACGCAUUAAGUUCCCCGCCUGGGGAGUACGGCCGCAAGGCUAAAACUCAAAGGAAUUGACGGGGGCCCGCACAAGCAGCGGAGCAUGUGGCUUAAUUCGACGCAACGCGAAGAACCUUACCAAGGCUUGACAUAUACCGGAAAGCAUCAGAGAUGGUGCCCCCCUUGUGGUCGGUAUACAGGUGGUGCAUGGCUGUCGUCAGCUCGUGUCGUGAAAUGUUGGGUUAAGUCCCGCAACGAGCGCAACCCUUGUUCUGUGUUGCCAGCAUGCCCUUCGGGGUGAUGGGGACUCACAGGAGACUGCCGGGGUCAACUCGGAGGAAGGUGGGGACGACGUCAAGUCAUCAUGCCCCUUAUGUCUUGGGCUGCACACGUGCUACAAUGGCCGGUACAAUGAGCUGCGAUGCCGCGAGGCGGAGCGAAUCUCAAAAAGCCGGUCUCAGUUCGGAUUGGGGUCUGCAACUCGACCCCAUGAAGUCGGAGUUGCUAGUAAUCGCAGAUCAGCAUUGCUGCGGUGAAUACGUUCCCGGGCCUUGUACACACCGCCCGUCACGUCACGAAAGUCGGUAAC